RNAcentral lists this ribosomal RNA (164 nucleotides) under uncultured bacterium. Its description in RNAcentral is "partial 16S rRNA". It matches the Rfam family "Bacterial small subunit ribosomal RNA", at positions 355 to 511 of the family's 1533-position model. The record is from RNAcentral.
UAGGGAAUCUUCCACAAUGGGCGAAAGCCUGAUGGAGCAACGCCGCGUGUGUGAUGAAGGGUUUCGGCUCGUAAAACACUGUUGUAAGAGAAGAAUGACAUUGAGAGUAACUGUUCAAUGUGUGACGGUAUCUUAUCAGAAAGGAACGGCUAAAUACGUGCCAG